CAACAGUGUUGAAGCAGUGUC
Molecule: non-coding RNA, 21 nt
Filed under: Arabidopsis thaliana (thale cress)
Lineage: Eukaryota; Viridiplantae; Streptophyta; Magnoliopsida; Brassicales; Brassicaceae
Source: RNAcentral